This 253-nucleotide ribosomal RNA is filed under the name uncultured bacterium. RNAcentral describes it as "partial 16S ribosomal RNA". It matches the Rfam family "Bacterial small subunit ribosomal RNA", at positions 524 to 776 of the family's 1533-position model. The record is from RNAcentral.
UACGGAGGGCGCAAGCGUUGUUCGGAAUUACUGGGCGUAAAGCGCGUGUAGGCGGCCAGGUAAGUCGGAUGUGAAAGCCCGGGGCCCAACCCCGGAACUGCACCCGAUACUGCCCGGCUGGAGUCCCGGAGAGGAUGGCGGAAUUUCCGGUGUAGAGGUGAAAUUCGUAGAUAUCGGAAGGAACACCAGUGGCGAAGGUGGCCAUCGGGACGGUGACUGACGAUGAGACGCGAAAGCGUGGGGAGCAAACAGG